RNAcentral lists this ribosomal RNA (273 nucleotides) under uncultured bacterium. Its description in RNAcentral is "partial 16S ribosomal RNA". It matches the Rfam family "Bacterial small subunit ribosomal RNA", at positions 524 to 796 of the family's 1533-position model. The record is from RNAcentral.
UACGUAGGGUGCAGGCGUUAAUCGGAAUUACUGGGCGUAAAGCGUGCGCAGGCGGUUUGUUAAGACAGGUGUGAAAUCCCCGGGCUUAACCUGGGAACUGCGCUUGUUACUGGCAGACUUGAGUGUGGCAGAGGGGGGUGGAAUUCCACGUGUAGCAGUGAAAUGCGUAGAGAUGUGGAGGAACACCGAUGGCGAAGGCAGCCCCCUGGGCUAACACUGACGCUCAUGCACGAAAGCGUGGGGAGCAAACAGGAUUAGAUACCCCCGUAGUCC